GAUUCCCUGAGUAGCGGCGAGCGAAACGGGAUUAGCCCAAACCAAGAGGCUUGCCUCUUGGGGUUGUAGGACACUCUGUACGGAGUUACAAAGGAACGAGGUAGAUGAAGAGGUCUGGAAAGGCCCGCCAUAGGAGGUAACAGCCCUGUAGUCAAAACUUCGUUCUCUCCUGAGUGGAUCCUGAGUACGGCGGAACACGUGAAAUUCCGUCGGAAUCCGGGAGGACCAUCUCCCAAGGCUAAAUACUCCCUAGUGACCGAUAGUGAACCAGUACCGUGAGGGAAAGGUGAAAAGCACCCCGGAAGGGGAGUGAAAGAGAUCCUGAAACCGUGUGCCUACAAGUAGUCAGAGCCCGUUAACGGGUGAUGGCGUGCCUUUUGUAGAAUGAACCGGCGAGUUACGAUCCCGUGCAAGGUUAAGCAGAAGAUGCGGAGCCGCAGCGAAAGCGAGUCUGAAUAGGGCGCAUGAGUACGUGGUCGUAGACCCGAAACCAGGUGAUCUACCCAUGUCCAGGGUGAAGUUCAGGUAACACUGAAUGGAGGCCCGAACCCACGCACGUUGAAAAGUGCGGGGAUGAGGUGUGGGUAGGGGUGAAAUGCCAAUCGAACCUGGAGAUAGCUGGUUCUCUCCGAAAUAGCUUUAGGGCUAGCCUCAAGGUAAGAGUCUUGGAGGUAGAGCACUGAUUGGACUAGGGGCCCCUACCGGGUUACCGAAUUCAGUCAAACUCCGAAUGCCAAUGACUUAUCCUUGGGAGUCAGACUGCGAGUGAUAAGAUCCGUAGUCGAAAGGGAAA
This 793-nucleotide ribosomal RNA is filed under the name Bacillus sp. (in: firmicutes). Its description in RNAcentral is "bacterial LSU rRNA". It matches the Rfam family "Bacterial large subunit ribosomal RNA", at positions 233 to 1022 of the family's 2925-position model. The record is from RNAcentral. Lineage: Bacteria; Bacillati; Bacillota; Bacilli; Caryophanales; Bacillaceae.